This 506-nucleotide ribosomal RNA is filed under the name uncultured bacterium. Its description in RNAcentral is "partial 16S ribosomal RNA". It matches the Rfam family "Bacterial small subunit ribosomal RNA", at positions 29 to 523 of the family's 1533-position model. The record is from RNAcentral.
AGUGAACGCUGGCGGUAGACCUAACACAUGCAAGUCGAACGGCAGCACAGAGGAGCUUGCUCCUUGGGUGGCGAGUGGCGGACGGGUGAGGAAUACAUCGGAAUCUACUCUGCCGUGGGGGAUAACGUAGGGAAACUUACGCUAAUACCGCAUACGACCUACGGGUGAAAGCAGGGGAUCUUCGGACCUUGCGCGAUUGAAUGAGCCGAUGCCGGAUUAGCUAGUUGGCGGGGUAAAGGCCCACCAAGGCGACGAUCCGUAGCUGGUCUGAGAGGAUGAUCAGCCACACUGGAACUGAGACACGGUCCAGACUCCUACGGGAGGCAGCAGUGGGGAAUAUUGGACAAUGGGCGCAAGCCUGAUCCAGCCAUACCGCGUGGGUGAAGAAGGCCUUCGGGUUGUAAAGCCCUUUUGUUGGGAAAGAAAUCCAUCUGGUUAAUACCCGGGUGGGAUGACGGUACCCAAAGAAUAAGCACCGGCUAACUCCGUGCCAGCCGCCGCGGUAA